CACAGCAUGGACAUGAGGGUCCCCGCUCGGCUCCUGGGGCUGCUGCUGCUCUGGCUCCCAGGUGUGCGAUGUGACAUCCAGGUGACCCAGUCUCCAUCCUCGCUGGCUGCCUCUGUAGGAGACACAGUCACCAUCAACUGCAGAGCCAGUCAGAACAUUUAUAAUGCUUUAAAUUGGUAUCAGCAGAAACCAGGGAAAGCUCCCAGGCUCCUGAUCUAUUUUGCAAGCAAUUUGCAGUCUGGGGUCCCAUCGAGGUUCAGCGGCAGCGGAUAUGGGACAGAUUUCACUCUCACCAUCAGCAGCCUGCAGCCUGAAGAUGUUGCAACUUAUUACUGUUUACAGUAUCAGAGUUCCCCUCCCACAGUGGUACAAGCCAUGACACAAACCUCCCAGGAAGCAGAAGUGUGA
Molecule: non-coding RNA, 408 nt
Organism: Chinchilla lanigera (long-tailed chinchilla)
Lineage: Eukaryota; Metazoa; Chordata; Mammalia; Rodentia; Chinchillidae
Source: the annotation of a RefSeq genome assembly